Pavo cristatus (Indian peafowl) is the source of this 2255-nucleotide long non-coding RNA. The record is from Ensembl. Lineage: Eukaryota; Metazoa; Chordata; Aves; Galliformes; Phasianidae.
AUGAAAAAAUGUGACCAUCCUGCGGGCAAGAGAAGAUGCUUCUGGUUUAGGGGAGCUUGCAAACCAACAAGAUGUGGUGCGAGUCCUGGGAAACAGGACUGCUCCACAGGCAGGAAAAGAUUCUGCCUGUUUAGGACUGCUCCCAAGCCAGCUCAGCACUCAGCACCUGCUCUACCACUGCUCUCUGGGAAAAAGCCUUCAAAGUCUGAUCCCUCAAUGGGCAGGGAAGGACUCCCACAGCUCUGCCUUGCAUGCUCACCAACUCAUCUCCUACCUCCAGCUGUUCCAUUGCUUCACUGGCCGGGAGAAUGGGAAACCCCCUGCAAACAUGGAAGGGUUCUCCUGGCUUGGCCUCAGUUUCCAACUUGUGCACAUUUGCCGUGUAGAAACCAGAGGCACCAUUACAAGCAGGGGAUUGUAGCUCAGCCUUUGCCCCCAGCUGCACCAGAAUUAAUGGUACAUGGUCAAGACCCAGUAAAGAGGGCACCUGUGCAGGCAGGUAAGGACUAUCAUAGCUCCAAACCUCUGCUGUCCUCCAUCCCUAGGCAUACAUCCACAGCCUGGAGUCCUCUCCAGGCAGGAUACACUACUACUGGUUUUGAAAAGAUGAGGGGAGAAAUACAUUCCCAUCUUGGGAAACCAUUAAGUUGUUGUGUACUGGGAGAAGAUUGCUACUGGAGAAGAACCUUGUAGUCUGCCACUGCUGGGUGGCAGUGGUGGAUGGGAGGUAUCUGGGAAGUACAGUGAAGAGCCUGGACUACUUCCACACGGAGCCUUUGAUUUUCCAGUAGGUGAGAAGAAUCAGUGCGUCAGCAAAUGCCUGGAUCAUGGUGACCUUGUAAAGCUUGCAUGAAUUACUCAUGUCAGGAUGCUGCUUAACACGGUAGCAGGCUUCAUAUUUACACAGGUCUAGAUGAUGAAACAAGAUCACGGUGGCUCAAGGGCUAGCCCACUAUGGCUUUAUGUGCAGAACUAAGCCAAGUCCAGAGCUAAGUGCAGAACUAAGCCAAGCUUAUUGUGCUGCUUUAUCUGUAUGAAUCACUGCAGCAUGAAUGCAGGAAGUAUCAAAGAGGAGAAGAAAGCUGGUUAUAUCUGAAUCAUGAUGGUCAUGCUCACAUUGAAUUAUGGAGUCCUCAGGCUUGGAGGAAGGACAGUAUAACCUUAUGUCUGUUCUCCCAGGGAGCUGAUAAUUGUGCUACCAGUGACUUCAGUGGAAGUGGCACUAGCACAUUCAUGUUUGAGUGUGCAAGUUUCUCAUAGGACAGUUUGUUGCAUCAUCUGCUCAGGUCUACAGCCUCUAGUUGUAGAGGUGGCCUCUGCCCCUGCGGUCAGAUCAGUGCUGACUGCAGAGCUGAGGGCAUCAUCCAGCCUUCCAGCCAAGGGUCAUCCAGAUCUGGUUAAAACACAGUGAUUAAAAAAAGCAAAGAGCCACGAGCUGUUCAUUCUGUUUGGGUAUGUUAGUGCCCCAUCCUGGGAAAUCAGAUGGAAAGAUGCUUUUUUUUAAUCUAAACAGUGAAAUUUUGGAAUUCAGAAUGACAUUUAGGAGCUCCACAGUUUUCCAAAGUGGAGAAGUUUGAAGUUGCCAGGAAGGGGCAGGCUCCCUCACUUACAUGCAUUUUCACACUUUUCAAGUCGUUUCAGCGAAACUGCCAUUUCUGUCAGCAGUUCUCAGACACAACAUUUCUGACAGGCCCAUCCUCUGCUCUGCAGUUUCGAGGGAUGGUUGCUCUCAUCUCCCUCCAAUCAUCUCACUCUGAAGCGAGGACCUAAAUCUUCUGACAUCCAGGGUUGACCACAGAGCUCUGAUUGCCACCAGCUUUAGCCUGGAGAGCGGAUUCAGGGCCUUGGGUUUUCUUAACUGGAACAUCCACUUUUUCUCUGUUCAUAAUUAAUUUUAUAUUGUGGGUUUUGUACCUGUGACUAAAAGUGUACUACAGAAGUGUACGAUUUUGUUAAUAAAGUCUUUACAAUACCCUGUCUAGUCAGGAUGUCGUCUUUCUGUAGCCAGGCUUCUGCUCUCCGUGUGGUGUGGGGCAGUGUGUUACAGUAAUAGGGUGUAAUUAGGUGCUUGUGUAAGGCUGCUCAGUAAACACACGGUAAUUGGUACCCGCACAGAUAGUUUUGGAGUUCUUUUGCUCCUGUCUUUAAUGAAUGCUAAGCUGGCACCUCCUUUACUCUGACUUCAGAGUAUAAAUCAUGAGCAGUUAGUGUUCAUAAGCAAACACUGCAGCGCUAGUGGGGUGGUUCAGUGUCUG